This is a long non-coding RNA of Pseudopipra pipra, 1113 nucleotides long. RefSeq lists it as uncharacterized. Lineage: Eukaryota; Metazoa; Chordata; Aves; Passeriformes; Pipridae. The record is from RefSeq and is a predicted model, not a curated record. The transcript is spliced from 2 exons.
UGGUUCUCUGCCAUCUCUGUUGCGUGGUUCUCUCUUUCGCUUUCAUACCUCAGUUUGCUGCUGCUGUAGUGUAGUCAGCUUAUCAAGUGUCCUCCAAGUCAGUUUUCAGCUGCCCCCAGUCAAACCUUGGCAGGGCAACUCUCGAGCCUCUCUCUCUGGCCCAUCUCCAAUUUCGCCUGAGACUCUUCUCCCUGGCACCGAGUUGCUUCGUUAUCAGCACGUCUCUUGGCUCAGCUUCAAUACUAAGCCUUGCAUCCACUCCCACUUAACAGUGAGAGGGGAAAAAAGCCCCCUAGCCUUGGCCACAGGCAGCUUGGUCCAGUUAUACACUGUUCCAAGCGCCCCGCAGCCCAACUGCAGAGGGGGGGAAGAGGGCCUGGCCUCCUCCCUCUUACCUCAGGUGUUGUGAGUCACGUCCCUCACAAACACUCACUCCAAAUGCUGCCUCUAACCCUGCUGUGGGUCGCAGGGCCUGCCCUCCCCCCUCGGAGGGGGAAGAAGGAGGAGGCCCUGCCACCCCUUCGGCCUUCUACACCUACACGCCGCAGACACCAACAGAAUUGCCAACAGCUUCCAGUGGCUGUGUAUAUGUGAUUUUUCAGCAGCAGCGAACAAGAGGAGUGGUGAUUGGCCCUCCAGGGAACACUGCCCUGGCACCAAAUCACCUCUGGGCCCCUCGGCUCUCAGGGGGGCCAAUCUCAACCCAUGACACCUUUCACGAAAAAUUUGGUUCAGACCUCAGACUGCCUGUUUUGCAUAUGCUGAGCAGAUGGGAAUGGGCUGUCCUUGCUGUCCAAGAUGUUACUGGGGAUUCUUCUUCCAGGGCUGUGAGACAGAUCAUGAGGUCAUGAACCUUGUUCUAGAGCAGAAGGAAGAUACUAAGUUAAAUGCUACCACAAAUUUCAUUCUCACCACUCCAUCCAUCUCUGAGUUCUGCUACCGUGACUGAGGCAGCCUAAGCUCUGUGGGCUGCUUCCACUCCCACCCUGCCAGGCAACAGGAGAGUUGUGAUUCCUGUCCAGGCUCCAUACUGCACUGAUGACAACUUCAGUAAAGUGGGAAGACACAAGAAAAGAUGCUCAUCUUUUCCAAAUUAAACAAUCAGGAAAGAGA